GAUGAACGCUGACAGAAUGCUUAACACAUGCAAGUCAACUUGAACUUCGGUUUGGGUGGCGGACGGGUGAGUAACGCGUAAAGAACUUGCCUCACAGAUAGGGACAACAUUUGGAAACGAAUGCUAAUACCUGAUAUUAUGAUUUUAGGGCAUCCUAGAAUUAUGAAAGCUAUAUGCGCUGUGAGAGAGCUUUGCGUCCCAUUAGCUAGUUGGAGAGGUAACGGCUCACCAAGGCGAUGAUGGGUAGCCGGCCUGAGAGGGUGAUCGGCCACAAGGGGACUGAGACACGGCCCUUACUCCUACGGGAGGCAGCAGUGGGGAAUAUUGGACAAUGGACCAAGAGUCUGAUCCAGCAAUUCUGUGUGCACGAUGAAGUUUUUCGGAAUGUAAAGUGCUUUCAGUUGGGAAGAAAAAAAUGACGGUACCAACAGAAGAAGUGACGGCUAAAUACGUGCCAGCAGCCGCGGUAAUACGUAUGUCACAAGCGUUAUCCGGAUUUAUUGGGCGUAAAGCGCGUCUAGGUGGUUAUGUAAGUCUGAUGUGAAAAUGCAGGGCUCAACUCUGUAUUGCGUUGGAAACUGUGUAACUAGAGUACUGGAGAGGUAAGCGGAACUACAAGUGUAGAGGUGAAAUUCGUAGAUAUUUGUAGGAUUGCCGAUGGGGAAGCCAGCUUACUGGACACAUACUGACAUUAAGCGCGAAAGCGUGGGUAGCAAAU
Molecule: ribosomal RNA, 718 nt
Filed under: uncultured Fusobacterium sp.
Lineage: Bacteria; Fusobacteriati; Fusobacteriota; Fusobacteriia; Fusobacteriales; Fusobacteriaceae
Description: bacterial SSU rRNA
Rfam family: Bacterial small subunit ribosomal RNA
Source: RNAcentral